Molecule: small nuclear RNA, 95 nt
Filed under: Zalophus californianus (California sea lion)
Lineage: Eukaryota; Metazoa; Chordata; Mammalia; Carnivora; Otariidae
Source: RNAcentral
GCACCCCCCCCAAAAAAAUUGGAACAACACAGAGAAGAUUAGCACGGUCCCUGCAUAAGGAUGGCAUGCAAAUUUGUGAAGUGUUCCAUAUUAAA